This 77-nucleotide transfer RNA is filed under the name Bacillus thermozeamaize. RNAcentral's name for it is "tRNA-Arg". It matches the Rfam family "tRNA". Rfam says of the family: Transfer RNA (tRNA) molecules are approximately 80 nucleotides in length. Their secondary structure includes four short double-helical elements and three loops (D, anti-codon, and T loops). Lineage: Bacteria; Bacillati; Bacillota; Bacilli; Caryophanales; Bacillaceae. The record is from RNAcentral.
GUGCCCUUAGCUCAGUUGGAUAGAGCGUCUGACUACGAAUCAGAAGGUCGGGGGUUCGAAUCCCUCAGGGCACACCA